This is a long non-coding RNA of Aedes albopictus (Asian tiger mosquito), 1701 nucleotides long. RefSeq lists it as uncharacterized. Lineage: Eukaryota; Metazoa; Arthropoda; Insecta; Diptera; Culicidae. The transcript has 4 exons. The record is from RefSeq and is a predicted model, not a curated record.
AUCGCGAUGAAAACAACCAUCAAUCUCUGUUUGAGCUAGGUGCUGCUUUUGUAAUUUUCCCCGGAAUCCCAUUAUUUCCCGUUGUGCAAAUAUCUCACCAAUACCAGAAAUCUAAGGAAAGCCGCCGAUGGAUCAGUGAAGCAAAUGAUGAGACCUCGGGAGUUGAUCAUCCUUAAAAGCAAGGAGGCGCGGACCACACAGCGCUGCAACACCAGAAAUCCAUCAGCCACCUUGUUUCGUUUAAUAAGGUUACUCGCAGCGAAAGCAAGAAAUGGACUCGAUCCCGGUCAACAUGCAAAUGAACUGGAUUGAUCCUUUGCCGGAGGAGGAUACCCGUACACUGGCAGCGAAUUCCGUGACGUUAAAGUGAAUGCAGGAUGUUCCGGAAUGGAAGAAGGCCAUCAUCAUCGGCGGUUAGAAAUCAUCGUACGGCAAAAAUUCAGACAUGAGUUUGGAUGAACAGCGUCAAUCGCUUCUAAAAGCUGAGAGACAAUCUCAUUAAAGCUGUGACGGGUAAUCUAAUUUUGAUUGUCAUCGAAGAGACCGGUUCCGGUUAAUCUACACAAAUUACUUGGCCGAAUGUGACUUCAUUGUCCGGGGGAAGAUUCCGCGUCGUAUGGCCGCCAUGUCCGUAGCAAAGCGAGUUGCCGAGGAGUACGUUUGCCGCCGUAGGCAGGAAGUCGGUUAUACGAACCAUUUCGAGGCCUGCAUCCCCUGCACCAGCCAGGAAACGGUCAUCAAGUACAUGACAGACGGUCGGAAAGUCUCGGAAAUUUUGUGCCCGAAGGAAUCAGACGAACUAUUUGGAGGAUGCGUCUCCCAAUACAGACAUGCAAAUCCAUCUUUGCGAACCUCCUGGCGGCAUCCUGCUUUUUCUCACCGGUCAGAUGGAGAUUGACACUGCCUGUGAAAUAAUUCUGUACAUACGAAUGGAAGCCCCUCGGGCCGGAUGUUCCGGAACUGAUUAUCCUGCCGUUGGAAAUGCAAACCCGUGUUUUUGAUCCGGCACCACCUGGCAGUCGAAAAGUGGUGUAUGCGACCAACAUUGUCGAAACUUCCCUCACCAUGGACGGUAUUUACUACGUGGUAGAUCCGGGAUUCGAUUAGCAGAAGGUGUCAUAUUCCAAGACCGGAAUGGACGUCCUCGUCCUUACGUCGAUUUCCCAGCCAUUGCCAAACAGAGACCGAACUGAAAGAAGUUGUAAACGAGGUAAAGCCUACCGCUUGUACACGUAACGCGUGCCUCUAAUACCGGGAAUCUAAGAAAAGAUGUAGAUAGAUCAACAUGAGGAAGCAAAAUGUGAGCCCACGGGAGUUGAUCAUCCGGAAGGAAGGAGACGCGAACCGCAAAGUGCUGCAACAUCGGAAAACUCUCAGCGAUCUUGUUUCCGUAAACGUGGAUCCGGCACAUGUUGCAGCCCACCAAAAAAUAUCCGGCUCUCUGAAGAAUUUCAACAUUGCAGUGGACUUAUGAACCUGUUCAGGAUUCAGCACCCGAUCCAGCCUUUUUUGAUGUACCGUCGACAACCGACGAAGGGGAAACAACCUGCUCAGCUGAAAACAGUCCGAAAGAAUAAUAAGACAGUUGGUUCCUUUUUUUCAUUUUAUUUUAUAUUUUUAUACUAUUCGUUGAAUAAACGUUAUUAUAGUUAUUGUUUUUUUUUAUUACAUAUUAAUGUUCUUUCAGAUUGCAUAAAAUAA